GGUGUCAUGGCAGAGUGGUCAUGCAGAGGUCUGCAACACCUUGUACAGCGGUUCAAUUCCGCUUGGCACCUCCA
RNAcentral lists this transfer RNA (74 nucleotides) under Candidatus Peribacteria bacterium. RNAcentral describes it as "tRNA-Cys". It matches the Rfam family "tRNA". Rfam says of the family: Transfer RNA (tRNA) molecules are approximately 80 nucleotides in length. Their secondary structure includes four short double-helical elements and three loops (D, anti-codon, and T loops). Lineage: Bacteria; Candidatus Peregrinibacteriota; Candidatus Peribacteria. The record is from RNAcentral.